GUUUUAGUAGUUUAACAAAACAUCGGUCUUGUAAGCCGAAAUUGGGAGGUCCCCUAAAAUU
Molecule: transfer RNA, 61 nt
Filed under: Ephemerella sp. Yunnan-2018
Lineage: Eukaryota; Metazoa; Arthropoda; Insecta; Ephemeroptera; Ephemerellidae
Description: tRNA-Thr
Rfam family: tRNA
About the family: Transfer RNA (tRNA) molecules are approximately 80 nucleotides in length. Their secondary structure includes four short double-helical elements and three loops (D, anti-codon, and T loops).
Source: RNAcentral